AUACGUAGGGGGCGAGCGUUGUCCGGAAUGACUGGGCGUAAAGGGCGUGUAGGCGGCCGAUUAAGUCUGGAGUGAAAGUCCCGCUUUCAAGGUGGGAAUUGCUUUGGAGACUGGUUGGCUUGAGUGCGGAAGAGGUAAGUGGAAUUCCCAGUGUAGCGGUGAAAUGCGUAGAGAUUGGGAGGAACACCAGUGGCGAAGGCGACUUACUGGGCCGUAACUGACGCUGAGGCGCGAAAGCGUGGGGAGCGAACAGGAUUAGAUACCCUGGUAGUCCACGCUGUAAACGAUGAAUGCUAGGUGUAGGGGGUAUCGACCCCUCCUGUGCCGGAGUAAACGCAAUAAGCAUUCCGCCUGGGGAGUACGGCCGCAAGGUUGAAACUCAAAUGAAUUGACGGG
This 396-nucleotide ribosomal RNA is filed under the name uncultured bacterium. Its description in RNAcentral is "partial 16S ribosomal RNA". It matches the Rfam family "Bacterial small subunit ribosomal RNA", at positions 523 to 917 of the family's 1533-position model. The record is from RNAcentral.